Molecule: ribosomal RNA, 2918 nt
Filed under: Staphylococcus aureus M1486
Lineage: Bacteria; Bacillati; Bacillota; Bacilli; Caryophanales; Staphylococcaceae
Description: bacterial LSU rRNA
Rfam family: Bacterial large subunit ribosomal RNA
Source: RNAcentral
AGUUAUUAAGGGCGCACGGUGGAUGCCUUGGCACUAGAAGCCGAUGAAGGACGUUACUAACGACGAUAUGCUUUGGGGAGCUGUAAGUAAGCUUUGAUCCAGAGAUUUCCGAAUGGGGAAACCCAGCAUGAGUUAUGUCAUGUUAUCGAUAUGUGAAUACAUAGCAUAUCAGAAGGCACACCCGGAGAACUGAAACAUCUUAGUACCCGGAGGAAGAGAAAGAAAAUUCGAUUCCCUUAGUAGCGGCGAGCGAAACGGGAAGAGCCCAAACCAACAAGCUUGCUUGUUGGGGUUGUAGGACACUCUAUACGGAGUUACAAAGGACGACAUUAGACGAAUCAUCUGGAAAGAUGAAUCAAAGAAGGUAAUAAUCCUGUAGUCGAAAAUGUUGUCUCUCUUGAGUGGAUCCUGAGUACGACGGAGCACGUGAAAUUCCGUCGGAAUCUGGGAGGACCAUCUCCUAAGGCUAAAUACUCUCUAGUGACCGAUAGUGAACCAGUACCGUGAGGGAAAGGUGAAAAGCACCCCGGAAGGGGAGUGAAAUAGAACCUGAAACCGUGUGCUUACAAGUAGUCAGAGCCCGUUAAUGGGUGAUGGCGUGCCUUUUGUAGAAUGAACCGGCGAGUUACGAUUUGAUGCAAGGUUAAGCAGUAAAUGUGGAGCCGUAGCGAAAGCGAGUCUGAAUAGGGCGUUUAGUAUUUGGUCGUAGACCCGAAACCAGGUGAUCUACCCUUGGUCAGGUUGAAGUUCAGGUAACACUGAAUGGAGGACCGAACCGACUUACGUUGAAAAGUGAGCGGAUGAACUGAGGGUAGCGGAGAAAUUCCAAUCGAACCUGGAGAUAGCUGGUUCUCUCCGAAAUAGCUUUAGGGCUAGCCUCAAGUGAUGAUUAUUGGAGGUAGAGCACUGUUUGGACGAGGGGCCCCUCUCGGGUUACCGAAUUCAGACAAACUCCGAAUGCCAAUUAAUUUAACUUGGGAGUCAGAACAUGGGUGAUAAGGUCCGUGUUCGAAAGGGAAACAGCCCAGACCACCAGCUAAGGUCCCAAAAUAUAUGUUAAGUGGAAAAGGAUGUGGCGUUGCCCAGACAACUAGGAUGUUGGCUUAGAAGCAGCCAUCAUUUAAAGAGUGCGUAAUAGCUCACUAGUCGAGUGACACUGCGCCGAAAAUGUACCGGGGCUAAACAUAUUACCGAAGCUGUGGAUUGUCCUUUGGACAAUGGUAGGAGAGCGUUCUAAGGGCGUUGAAGCAUGAUCGUAAGGACAUGUGGAGCGCUUAGAAGUGAGAAUGCCGGUGUGAGUAGCGAAAGACGGGUGAGAAUCCCGUCCACCGAUUGACUAAGGUUUCCAGAGGAAGGCUCGUCCGCUCUGGGUUAGUCGGGUCCUAAGCUGAGGCCGACAGGCGUAGGCGAUGGAUAACAGGUUGAUAUUCCUGUACCACCUAUAAUCGUUUUAAUCGAUGGGGGGACGCAGUAGGAUAGGCGAAGCGUGCGAUUGGAUUGCACGUCUAAGCAGUAAGGCUGAGUAUUAGGCAAAUCCGGUACUCGUUAAGGCUGAGCUGUGAUGGGGAGAAGACAUUGUGUCUUCGAGUCGUUGAUUUCACACUGCCGAGAAAAGCCUCUAGAUAGAAAAUAGGUGCCCGUACCGCAAACCGACACAGGUAGUCAAGAUGAGAAUUCUAAGGUGAGCGAGCGAACUCUCGUUAAGGAACUCGGCAAAAUGACCCCGUAACUUCGGGAGAAGGGGUGCUCUUUAGGGUUAACGCCCAGAAGAGCCGCAGUGAAUAGGCCCAAGCGACUGUUUAUCAAAAACACAGGUCUCUGCUAAACCGUAAGGUGAUGUAUAGGGGCUGACGCCUGCCCGGUGCUGGAAGGUUAAGAGGAGUGGUUAGCUUCUGCGAAGCUACGAAUCGAAGCCCCAGUAAACGGCGGCCGUAACUAUAACGGUCCUAAGGUAGCGAAAUUCCUUGUCGGGUAAGUUCCGACCCGCACGAAAGGCGUAACGAUUUGGGCACUGUCUCAACGAGAGACUCGGUGAAAUCAUAGUACCUGUGAAGAUGCAGGUUACCCGCGACAGGACGGAAAGACCCCGUGGAGCUUUACUGUAGCCUGAUAUUGAAAUUCGGCACAGCUUGUACAGGAUAGGUAGGAGCCUUUGAAACGUGAGCGCUAGCUUACGUGGAGGCGCUGGUGGGAUACUACCCUAGCUGUGUUGGCUUUCUAACCCGCACCACUUAUCGUGGUGGGAGACAGUGUCAGGCGGGCAGUUUGACUGGGGCGGUCGCCUCCUAAAAGGUAACGGAGGCGCUCAAAGGUUCCCUCAGAAUGGUUGGAAAUCAUUCAUAGAGUGUAAAGGCAUAAGGGAGCUUGACUGCGAGACCUACAAGUCGAGCAGGGUCGAAAGACGGACUUAGUGAUCCGGUGGUUCCGCAUGGAAGGGCCAUCGCUCAACGGAUAAAAGCUACCCCGGGGAUAACAGGCUUAUCUCCCCCAAGAGUUCACAUCGACGGGGAGGUUUGGCACCUCGAUGUCGGCUCAUCGCAUCCUGGGGCUGUAGUCGGUCCCAAGGGUUGGGCUGUUCGCCCAUUAAAGCGGUACGCGAGCUGGGUUCAGAACGUCGUGAGACAGUUCGGUCCCUAUCCGUCGUGGGCGUAGGAAAUUUGAGAGGAGCUGUCCUUAGUACGAGAGGACCGGGAUGGACAUACCUCUGGUGUACCAGUUGUCGUGCCAACGGCAUAGCUGGGUAGCUAUGUGUGGACGGGAUAAGUGCUGAAAGCAUCUAAGCAUGAAGCCCCCCUCAAGAUGAGAUUUCCCAACUUCGGUUAUAAGAUCCCUCAAAGAUGAUGAGGUUAAUAGGUUCGAGGUGGAAGCAUGGUGACAUGUGGAGCUGACGAAUACUAAUCGAUCGAAGACUUAAUCAA